GAUGAACGCUGGCGGCGUGCCUAAUACAUGCAAGUCGAGCGAACGGACGAGAAGCUUGCUUCCCUGAUGUUAGCGGCGGACGGGUGAGUAACACGUGGAUAACCUACCUAUAAGACUGGGAUAACUUCGGGAAACCGUAGCUAAUACCGGAUAAUAUUUUGAACCGCAUGGUUCAAAAGUGAAAGACGGUCUUGCUGUCACUUAUAGAUGGAUCCGCGCUGCAUUAGCUAGUUGGUAAGGUAACGGCUUACCAAGGCAACGAUGCAUAGCCGACCUGAGAGGGUGAUCGGCCACACUGGAACUGAGACACGGUCCAGACUCCUACGGGAGGCAGCAGUAGGGAAUCUUCCGCAAUGGGCGAAAGCCUGACGGAGCAACGCCGCGUGAGUGAUGAAGGUCUUCGGAUCGUAAAACUCUGUUAUUAGGGAAGAACAUAUGUGUAAGUAACUGUGCACAUCUUGACGGUACCUAAUCAGAAAGCCACGGCUAACUACGUG
RNAcentral lists this ribosomal RNA (497 nucleotides) under uncultured bacterium. Its description in RNAcentral is "partial 16S ribosomal RNA". It matches the Rfam family "Bacterial small subunit ribosomal RNA", at positions 28 to 507 of the family's 1533-position model. The record is from RNAcentral.